CCUACGGGAGGCAGCAGUAGGGAAUCUUCCGCAAUGGACGAAAGUCUGACGGAGCAACGCCGCGUGAGUGAUGAAGGCUUUCGGGUCGUAAAACUCUGUUGUUAGGGAAGAACAAGUGCUAGUUGAAUAAGCUGGCACCUUGACGGUACCUAACCAGAAAGCCACGGCUAACUACGUGCCAGCAGCCGCGGUAAGACGGAGGAUGCAAGUGUUAUCCGGAAUCACUGGGCGUAAAGCGUCUGUAGGUGGUUUAAUAAGUCAACUGUUAAAUCUUGAGGCUCAACUUCAAAAUCGCAGUCGAAACUAUUAGACUAGAGUAUAGUAGAGGUAAAGGGAAUUUCCAGUGGAGCGGUGAAAUGCGUAGAUAUUGGAAAGAACACCGAUGGCGAAAGCACUUUACUGGGCUAUUACUAACACUCAGAGACGAAAGCUAGGGUAGCAAAUGGGAUUAGAUACCCCAGUAGUCCUAGCCGUAAACAAUGGAUACUAGAUGUUGAACAGAUCGACCUGUGCAGUAUCAAAGCUAACGCGUUAAGUAUCCCGCCUGGGAAGUAUGCUCGCAAGAGUGAAACUCAAAGGAAUU
This 583-nucleotide ribosomal RNA is filed under the name uncultured bacterium. RNAcentral's name for it is "bacterial SSU rRNA". It matches the Rfam family "Bacterial small subunit ribosomal RNA", at positions 338 to 911 of the family's 1533-position model. The record is from RNAcentral.